CGCGGGGUAGAGCAGUCCGGUAGCUCGUUUGGCUCAUAACCAAAAGGUCGGUGGUUCAAAUCCACCCCCCGCAACCA
Molecule: transfer RNA, 77 nt
Filed under: Candidatus Nomurabacteria bacterium
Lineage: Bacteria; Candidatus Nomuraibacteriota
Description: tRNA-Met
Rfam family: tRNA
About the family: Transfer RNA (tRNA) molecules are approximately 80 nucleotides in length. Their secondary structure includes four short double-helical elements and three loops (D, anti-codon, and T loops). Further hydrogen bonds mediate the characteristic L-shaped molecular structure. tRNAs have two regions of fundamental functional importance: the anti-codon, which is responsible for specific mRNA codon recognition, and the 3' end, to which the tRNAs corresponding amino acid is attached (by aminoacyl-tRNA synthetases). tRNAs cope with the degeneracy of the genetic code in two manners: having more than one tRNA (with a specific anti-codon) for a particular amino acid; and 'wobble' base-pairing, i.e. permitting non-standard base-pairing at the 3rd anti-codon position.
Source: RNAcentral